This 64-nucleotide transfer RNA is filed under the name Ictidomys tridecemlineatus (thirteen-lined ground squirrel). RNAcentral describes it as "Spermophilus tridecemlineatus (thirteen-lined ground squirrel) tRNA". It matches the Rfam family "tRNA". Rfam says of the family: Transfer RNA (tRNA) molecules are approximately 80 nucleotides in length. RNAcentral also lists the same sequence under 1 other name. The record is from Rfam by way of RNAcentral. Lineage: Eukaryota; Metazoa; Chordata; Mammalia; Rodentia; Sciuridae.
GGUGGCUCAGUGGUAGAGUGCUUGCCUGGGAUGCAUGGGGCACUGGGUUCGCUCCCCAGCACCA